GUCGAGUAUGGAGGCGGGGGAAGUUUUCGAGCAAUUUCUACAAAUUUUCCAGGAGGAAAUCCUGUUAUGAUACCCCGACCACUUUCAACAAUCUCACAUAUAACGAGAGAUCUCAAAUCACUACUUAUGCUCUUUCCCCUACUGUAAACACGACCAAGUUCGCUGAUGUUCAUUGUGCAUUUCGAGAGAAAGGAAUGCAGACAAUAUGACACCUCCAAGUGGGCGGAGUCACAGCGUCUCAUAGGCAAAUCCGCAGACGAAUUUUUUAAUGCGUGCCACACUUCAAUGAAAUCCGUAGUACGAUGCUUUGCUAAGCUUUGCUAAAUGUCGACUGAAAACGCCUAACGUCGAACUGCAGUUUGAGGUUUCCGGUACCUAGGAAGAACGUCGUACUACAGGUCUCUAUUAUUCACCUGAAACUUUGUUCGCUUCUUCCACCAACUUUGUGUCAAUUAAUGCCAUAAGGAGCUUCUUCAAGAGGGAGGAAACUGGAGAGCCCGGAGAAAACCCUCGUAGCAAGAAAGAGAUCAACACAUCAAGCAACCUCAAUUCACAUGGCAACCGCAGGGCUCGAACCAGCAACACUGCAUUAGCCGCGUGAACACCAAUGCUACCCAGAGUAGAAAGGUUAAGAGAGUGAGUUAGGAUGUAGUAUUCGGCAUUUUCGAGCCUAAUGAUGUGAUUAAAACAGAGUUUAUAAUUUCAAGAUUUUCAUGUAAUUUAUAUUUCUUUUAAGAUAGAGUAGAUAGGUUCUGGGUUUUGGACUCUAAGUAGCUCAUUAGCUAAUCUAACAAGACCAAAUUCUAGCCUCCCCUCGGGAUUGGACCGAAACUGAGCUGUUAAGACACGUCCAAAGCAGGGAAUGAUCCUUCGCCUUUAAAAACAAGGCAUGUAAGACUCAUUCUUAGAAAUCCAGGAAGUCUGUAAGCCAACAUUAAAGCUUAAAUUAAGUUUA
Actinia tenebrosa (Australian red waratah sea anemone) is the source of this 955-nucleotide long non-coding RNA. RefSeq lists it as uncharacterized. Lineage: Eukaryota; Metazoa; Cnidaria; Anthozoa; Actiniaria; Actiniidae. The record is from RefSeq and is a predicted model, not a curated record.